This 243-nucleotide ribosomal RNA is filed under the name uncultured bacterium. RNAcentral's name for it is "partial 16S ribosomal RNA". It matches the Rfam family "Bacterial small subunit ribosomal RNA", at positions 470 to 714 of the family's 1533-position model. The record is from RNAcentral.
CGGCCGCGUCGACGAGGAAGCCACGGCUAACUACGUGCCAGCAGCCGCGGUAAUACGUAGGCGGCAAGCGUUGUCCGGAAUUAUUGGGCGUAAAGCGAGCGCAGGCGGUUUGAUAAGUCUGAAGUUAAAGGCUGUGGCUCAACCAUAGUUCGCUUUGGAAACUGUCAAACUUGAGUGCAGAAGGGGAGAGUGGAAUUCCAUGUGUAGCGGUGAAAUGCGUAGAUAUAUGGAGGAACACCGGUG